This 500-nucleotide ribosomal RNA is filed under the name uncultured bacterium. RNAcentral describes it as "partial 16S ribosomal RNA". It matches the Rfam family "Bacterial small subunit ribosomal RNA", at positions 30 to 523 of the family's 1533-position model. The record is from RNAcentral.
AUUGAACGCUGGCGGCAUGCCUUACACAUGCAAGUCGAACGGCAGCACGGGAGCAAUCCUGGUGGCGAGUGGCGAACGGGUGAGUAAUAUAUCGGAACGUGCCCAGUAAUGGGGGAUAGCCCGGCGAAAGCCGGAUUAAUACCGCAUACGACCUACGGGUGAAAGCGGGGGAUCGCAAGACCUCGCGUUAUUGGAGCGGCCGAUAUCAGAUUAGGUUGUUGGUGGGGUAAAAGCCCACCAAGCCGACGAUCUGUAGCUGGUUUGAGAGGACGACCAGCCACACUGGGACUGAGACACGGCCCAGACUCCUACGGGAGGCAGCAGUGGGGAAUUUUGGACAAUGGGCGCAAGCCUGAUCCAGCCAUGCCGCGUGUGGGAAGAAGGCCUUCGGGUUGUAAACCACUUUUGUCAGGGAAGAAACGGCUUUUUCUAAUAAAGAGAGCUAAUGACGGUACCUGAAGAAUAAGCACCGGCUAACUACGUGCCAGCAGCCGCCGUAA